GAUGAACGCUGGCGGCGUGCUUAACACAUGCAAGUCGAACGAAGCACUUUAUUUGAUUUCCUUCGGGACUGAUUAUUUUGUGACUGAGUGGCGGACGGGUGAGUAACGCGUGGGUAACCUGCCUUGUACAGGGGGAUAACAGUUGGAAACGGCUGCUAAUACCGCAUAAGCGCACGGCAUCGCAUGAUGCAGUGUGAAAAACUCCGGUGGUAUAAGAUGGACCCGCGUUGGAUUAGCUAGUUGGUGAGGUAACGGCCCACCAAGGCGACGAUCCAUAGCCGACCUGAGAGGGUGACCGGCCACAUUGGGACUGAGACACGGCCCAAACUCCUACGGGAGGCAGCAGUGGGGAAUAUUGCACAAUGGGCGAAAGCCUGAUGCAGCGACGCCGCGUGAGCGAAGAAGUAUUUCGGUAUGUAAAGCUCUAUCAGCAGGGAAGAUAAUGACGGUACCUGACUAAGAAGCACCGGCUAAGUACGUG
This 481-nucleotide ribosomal RNA is filed under the name uncultured bacterium. RNAcentral describes it as "partial 16S ribosomal RNA". It matches the Rfam family "Bacterial small subunit ribosomal RNA", at positions 28 to 507 of the family's 1533-position model. The record is from RNAcentral.